UUAGAUGUCUGGGGCCGCACGCGCGCUACACUGAAGGACUCAGCGUGUGCUUUCCCUGUCCGCCAGGACUGGGUAACCCGUUGAACCUCCUUCGUGAUAGGGAUAGGGGCUUGUAACUGUUCCCCUUGAACGAGGAAUGCCCAGUAAGCGCGAGUCAUAAGCUCGUGUUGAUUACGUCCCUGCCCUUUGUUCACACCGCCCGUCGCUACUACUGAUUGAAUGAUUUAGUGAGGUCCUCGGACUGGCGCUCGGAGCGGGCCUCGGUCCGGGCCGACGUGCCGGAAAGAUGACCGAACUUGAUCAUUUAGAAGAAUAAAAGUCGUACAAGGUUUCC
This 334-nucleotide ribosomal RNA is filed under the name Coryssocnemis iviei. Its description in RNAcentral is "SSU rRNA". It matches the Rfam family "Eukaryotic small subunit ribosomal RNA", at positions 1473 to 1804 of the family's 1831-position model. The record is from RNAcentral. Lineage: Eukaryota; Metazoa; Arthropoda; Arachnida; Araneae; Pholcidae.